Molecule: long non-coding RNA, 586 nt
Organism: Micropterus dolomieu (smallmouth bass)
Lineage: Eukaryota; Metazoa; Chordata; Actinopteri; Centrarchiformes; Centrarchidae
Exons: 3
Source: RefSeq, a predicted model, not a curated record
AUGACGCGGGGCCCACAACUUAGCUGACGCUAACUCGGAUCUGUGUUGCUUAAUUUCCUGUCUUUAAGUCAUAGUUUACACUUGACUAACAUUAACUAAUCAUACAAAUAUUUGUAACCAUUAUACAACAGUGAACAGGUGACCUGCUGUGAGCUCAAACCGUGUUCAUCCCAAACAAACAUAGCACUAUGGAAUUUCAACAAGUUGCACACCUUCAACCAGAGAGAAAAGAACUAAUAAGUGACACUGGCAAGACCUCCACCGUUGCAUUUUCCUGUGUACAUUGUCAUUAUCAAGAAGAUACAGCGAUGGACACUGGGCAAGAUGAAAGUCUGUCACGAUUCAAUCAAAACACAUAGUGUUAAGAUGGCCACACCUGGAAAUGACAUGAUUGAAGCAGAGCUCAGCCUGGACCAGACGCCCCAAAUGUCGUAGACACAGGCCCUUCAGCAGCUGGACAACACACUGGUCAUCUAUGUGAUACUCUGAUGGGUCUACACAUUCAAUGAAAUGCUGUUAGUUUUAUGCUGGUGCUAAAAAAAACAAACAUGUCAUGUCAGUGCUCUUAAGUUCUGCUGUUUCGCUC